RNAcentral lists this ribosomal RNA (439 nucleotides) under uncultured bacterium. Its description in RNAcentral is "partial 16S ribosomal RNA". It matches the Rfam family "Bacterial small subunit ribosomal RNA", at positions 338 to 795 of the family's 1533-position model. The record is from RNAcentral.
CCUACGGGUGGCUGCAGUGGGGAAUAUUGCACAAUGGGGGGAACCCUGAUGCAGCGACGCCGCGUGGGUGAGGAAGUACUUCGGUAUGUAAAGCCCUAUCAGCAGGGAAGAAAAUGACGGUACCUGACUAAGAAGCCCCGGCUAACUCCGUGCCAGCAGCCGCGGUAAUACGGAGGAUGCGAGCGUUAUCCGGCUUUAUUGGGUUUAAAGGGUGCGCAGGCGGUCUGUUAAGUCAGCGGUCAAAGCCCGGGGCUCAACCCCGGCCCGCCGUUGACACUGGCAGUCUCGAGUUGGAGAGAAGUAUGCGGAAUGCGCGGUGUAGCGGUGAAAUGCAUAGAUAUCGCGCAGAACUCCGAUUGCGAAGGCAGCAUGCCGGCUCCACACUGACGCUGAGGCACGAAAGCGUGGGUAUCGAACAGGAUUAGAUACCCCGGUAGUC